Molecule: ribosomal RNA, 403 nt
Filed under: uncultured bacterium
Lineage: Bacteria
Description: bacterial SSU rRNA
Rfam family: Bacterial small subunit ribosomal RNA
Source: RNAcentral
CAGGGAAUAUUAGAAAUGGACGGAAGUCUGACCUUGCGACACCGCGUGUGCGAAGAAGGCCUUCGGGUUGUAAAGCACUUUUUGGAAGGAAUAGGAAGGAAGGUACUUCCAGAAUAAGUCUCGGCUAACUACGUGCCAGCAGCCGCGGUAACACGUAGGAGGCGAACGUUAUCCGGAUUUACUGGGCGUAAAGCGCGUGUAGGUGGUUCUGUAAGUAGGGCGUGAAAGCUCCUGGCUCAACUGGGAGAGGCCGUUCUAAACUGCAGAGCUAGAGGAUGGUAGAGGGAGGUGGAAUUCCAGGUGUAGCGGUGGAAUGCGCAGAUAUCUGGAGGAACACCAGUGGCGAAGGCGGCCUCCUGGACCAUUCCUGACACUCAGACGCGAAAGCUAGGGUAGCAAACGG